Molecule: ribosomal RNA, 460 nt
Filed under: uncultured bacterium
Lineage: Bacteria
Description: partial 16S ribosomal RNA
Rfam family: Bacterial small subunit ribosomal RNA
Source: RNAcentral
CCUACGGGAGGCAGCAGUGAGGAAUAUUGGUCAAUGGGCGCUAGCCUGAACCAGCCAAGUAGCGUGAAGGAUGACUGCCCUAUGGGUUGUAAACUUCUUUUAUAUGGGAAUAAAGUGCAGUAUGUAUACUGCUUUGCAUGUACCUUAUGAAUAAGGAUCGGCUAACUCCGUGCCAGCAGCCGCGGUAAUACGGAGGAUUCGAGCGUUAUCCGGAUUUAUUGGGUUUAAAGGGAGCGUAGGCGGGUUGUUAAGUCAGUUGUGAAAGUUUGCGGCUCAACCGUAAAAUUGCAGUUGAUACUGGCAGCCUUGAGUACAGUAGAGGUAGGCGGAAUUCGUGGUGUAGCGGUGAAAUGCUUAGAUAUCACGAAGAACUCCGAUUGCGAAGGCAGCUUGCUGCAGCGGAACUGACGCUGAUGCUCGAAAGCGCGGGUAUCGAACAGGAUUAGAUACCCCAGUAGUC